CUGGAGUGCAGUGGCACGAUCUCGGCUCACUGCAUCCUCUGCCUCCUGGGUUCAAGUGAUUCUCCUGCCUCAGCCUCCCAAGUAGCUGGGACUACAGGCAGGCGCUACCACACUUGGCUAAUUUUGUAUUUUUAGUAGAGACAGGGUUUAACCAUGUUGGCCAGGCUGGUCUUGAACUCCUGACCUCAGGUGAUCUGCCCACCUCGGCCUCCCAAAGUGCUGAGAUUACAGGCGUGAGCCACUGCGCCUUGCCUAUUUGUGCAUUUUAAAUGUUUUCCCUUUGUGUUUAUCUGAAUUUCUCAUAAUGAAUGAUUUGCUCUUGAAUAAGAAAGAGCAAGAACCUAACAAAGGAACAAAAGUUAUUUUAAAAAUUAUAAAACAAACCAACUCCAAUCUAAGAGAUACAAAAACACAGUCAGGCAUAGACACAAAAAUGGGGGCAGAUGAAUUUCUCAGAACAGAUACAAUGAUAAGGACACACACACACAUACACACAGACACACACCUCUCUUCUGCCUAAUUCACAUGGCUGAGGUAGGCAAGGCUGGGGAGUUGCAAGCGGUAGGGGUUUGCCAAGUUUCCAGGAACACCGGAGUCUGGGUGUUGGGGUGGCUGCUGGAGCUUCUGGGCAGGUUGGGUGGGCUGAGGAGAGUACAGGGAGCAGCCUGGGGCUCACUAGCCUGAGUGAGAGGCCUGGCUGUACGACACCCAGCCUGCACCUCCUGGGACAGGGUAAGGCUCCUAAUCCCAGCUCCCCAGUUCAGGCAAGACUGAGGAGCCUGCCAAAGCAACUCUUCCCCAUCCCAGCAGUGGAGGGAGACAGCAGGGUCCACAGCUGGGGAGGAGCUUCCUGGCAACCACCUACGACUUCCAGGCUGAGGCCUUGUCAGCUGCCUACGGACCCCACUUAGGAAGCCAGGGCUGUGGUGGCUCAUACAGGGACCCUCUGUCCUUGUCCUCCUGAGAUACAGGCACAGCCACAGCCCUGGUGUGGGGCCUGGCCUGAGGCAAGGGGUGGAUGCAUGUCCUCCAUCAUCCCCACUGUCACUGUGCUUGCGCAGACCUCACCAUGUCAUCUCCUUAUGGGCCUCCCUGGCCUCACCUCACCCCUGCCCACCCGGCCGCCAGAGAGCUCUUUCUUGGACACAGACCUAACUCCUUAGAGGGCUAUUGGGUGGGUCUCUGUUCCCACCUUCAGAGUUCGCUAUCUGUGGUAGGCAUAAUAAUCAUCCCUCAAAGAUGUCCAUGUCCUAAUCCCUAGAAGCUGAGAAAAUGUUAUGUUCACCAAGGGGAAUUAAGAUUGCAGAUGAAAUCACAGUUGCUAAUCGGUAGACCUUAAAUAAGAUUAUCCCAGAUUAUCUGGGCAGGCCCAAUGCAGUAAGAAAUGUCCCUUCACUGUGGAGGAGGAGGGCAGAGGAGUCAGGGCAGGUGAUGUAAGAAAGACCUGAAGACAGAAGCAGGCCACCAGCCAAGGAGUGUGAGAGUCUCUAGAAACCAGAAAGGAAAAGACAAGGAAAAGCAUUCUCCCCAGUUGCCUCCAGAUGGGAACAUAGCCCUGCCAACAUCUUUUUUUUUUUUUUUUUUUGAGACUGAGUCUCGCUCUGUCGCCCGGGCUGGAGUGCAGUGGUGCGAUCUCGGCUCACUGCAAGCUCCGCCUCCCAGGUUCACGCCAUUCUCCUGCCUCAACCUCCCCGCCCGGCUAGUUUUUUGUAUUUUUAGUAGAGAUGGGGUUUCACUGUGUUAGCCAGGAUAGUCUCGAUCUCCUGACCUUGUGAUCCGCCCGUCUCAGCCUCCCAAAGUGCUGGGAUUACAGGCGUGAGCCACCGCGCCCGGCCUGCCCUGCCAACAUUUUGAUUUUAGCCUAGUGAGUCCUAUUUUGGUCUCUGAUCUCCAGAACUAUAAGAUAAUACAUUUGUGUUGUUUUAAGCCACUAUAUUUAUGCUAAGUUGUUAUAGCAACAAAGUAUUCUUAGCUCAACCAUUAGUGCUCACAAAGACUUAGCCUUGAAUUAGCUCCUCUAGUUAAAUCUAUUCCUGGCCGCCAAGAGACAGAGAAAGGUGGCCUCUGAGGGGGUCAGGUCUUACAGCUGAAGAAGGCUGUUGGGUCUGGAGUAUGGGUGGGCUGACCACUUAGAGAUAGGGAAGGGAGUCAGAAAUUACAUUUCCUAGUAAGUAGGAUGAGAGUGAUAAUGUGACAAUUGUCAGGCCCUGCACCAGGUGUUGGGCAAUGUGCAAACCCAGUCAUCCUUAUCCUUACCCUACAGAAACACCCACGCAAGUGUGCAAGCAUGUACGUCCAAGGUUGUUCUUACAGUAUUGUUUCUAUUAGCAAAACAUUAUAAAAAUCCAAGUACCCAUCAAUUGGGAAAUACAUAAAGAUUAUGAUACAGCCACAAAAAAUGGAAUAAUAGGCAGCCAUUACAAAAAUGUACUGACUUGGAAACUGCCCUCUAUACAUAGAGAAAAAACAGCAAGUUACAGAAUGGUCUCAUAAAACAAAAACAAAAACAAACAAACCAAAAAACACUUUUCCUCCUCAAGAAAACAAAAAUAAGAACAAAAAAACCUCCUAAAUUACACAUAUGCGUAUGUGUUUGUAUGAACCUAGGAAAAUGUCAGGAAGGAUGUGAUGGCCUCUGGGGGACAGGCUUGGAGGAAGAAGGAAGCUUAUGUUUUACUUCAUAUCCUUCUGUCCUGUUCCACCUUAUUUGAACAAGCAUGUGUUGCUUUUUAUUACAAUGUUAAAAGGAAAAAUCCUUAGACUAACUAAGUUCAACAGUUUACUUGACCAAUUAAAAUGAUUCAAAACAAAGAGAAACAAAAAACAAUUUGGGAAUCAGGCAGCCCCCCAGAACCAAAACAGGUUCAGAGAACUUUCAGAGAACUCAGGCCAACACCAUGAUCAGGCAACAUUUGUAGAUAGAGAGAGAACAGAAGUGAGAUACAGAGACAACUUAAUUGGUUACAGCUUAAUUGGUUGAUUAGUUCUACCUAAACGUCUUACCUUAUUCAACUCAGCUGACCUACUGUAGUUCAUUAAGUUCAGCUGUGUGACUCACUGAACCUCAACCAUUUGCAAGAAUAUAUUCCUAAAGUAAUUAGUUUCAUUAAGCGUGAUGGCUUCAUAUUGGUUUGGUCUGCUAGGCUCAGUAAAGGACACUAAUUCAAAUCAAUGGCCUCCUAUUUUAACACAUAAUAACUUUUUUAAUGUUAAGAUAACACAGGUUAAGAAAGCAAACUUGACUGUCCUGUUCUGUGACAAACAGCUGUUAUUUGCAAAAAGGACUCCCUGGGUUGAGGGAGACCAGAGCUCCACUUAGCAAGGCCACUCAGGAAACAGAUGGACCAACUUGAGUUCUUUUUCUGUGUGAGCUCAUCUGGGGAAUGAGACACUGUGGAUCUUCUGAGUGGAAAAGUGGAGUCAUUCAAGCCCUCCUGGCUUCUACAGAGGGUUUCACUCCCGUCGCCCAGGCUGGAAUGCAGUGGUGAAAUCUCGGCUCACUGCAACCUCUGCCUCCUGGGCUCAAAUGAUCCUCUCGCCUCAGCCUCCUGAGUAGCUGGGACUACAGGCAUGCAGCACUGCGCCCAGCUAAGUUUUGUAUUUUUUCUAGAGACGGAAUUUUGCCGUGUUGCCUAGGCUGCUCUGGAACUCCUGAGCUCAAGUGAUCCACCUGCCUUGGCCUCCUGAAGUGCUGGGAUUACAGGUCGGAGCCACUGCGCCUGGCCUCUAUGCCUGUGGUCUUUAGUUUGUAGGAACCAGACCACUCAAAGGCUGGAACGUACCUUAUUGCUCUGCCAGUGAAUGGUUUAGGAACUGGCUGAAGGAGCUGGGGAUUCAGUCUAGGAAGAACUUACAGGAGUUGGGAUUGGGUUUGAGAGCUGCUUUCACACAUCUAAGUAAAAAAGAUUUAGCCUUCCUCACAGAGGGCUCUAGGCCAAAACCAGAACCCAAAGGUGGAGGCUGCCAACUUUACCCUAAAUUAAAGAGAAACCUCCUACCCAUCAGAACUGGAUGGAGGUAGCUUUUUGAUAGCAACUCUCCACUGCUGGGAAUAUUUAAUCAAAGGAUGCAGAAGGAGUCAUUAACUGAGCAGCAGUUCCCAUAUACCAGCCUAUGUAUUGGUACCUACCUGUCUAUAACAUUUUCCAGGUCUCAGCCAGGCACGGUGGCUCAUGCUUGUAAUCCCAGCACUUUGGGAGGCUGAGGUGGAAGGAUCUCUUGAGCCCGGGAGUUACCAGCCCGGGCGACACAGGGAGACCCUGUCUCUACAAAUAAUUUAAAAAUUAGCCAGGCAUGAUGGUGCACACGUGUGUGGUCCCAGCUACUUGGAAGGCUGAGGAGGAGAAUCAAUUGAGCCCAGGAGGUCGAG
This 4369-nucleotide long non-coding RNA is filed under the name Homo sapiens (human). RNAcentral's name for it is "HSALNT0351804". Lineage: Eukaryota; Metazoa; Chordata; Mammalia; Primates; Hominidae. The record is from RNAcentral.